Ailuropoda melanoleuca (giant panda) is the source of this 4484-nucleotide long non-coding RNA. RefSeq lists it as uncharacterized. The record is from RefSeq and is a predicted model, not a curated record. The transcript is spliced from 2 exons. NCBI's taxonomy places the organism in Eukaryota, Metazoa, Chordata, Mammalia, Carnivora, Ursidae.
GACCCAUUUACACCCUCAAGAAGACAGCAGUGUAAAGCCUCAAACUCUGCAAACGAAUCAGGACAACAGCAGGUACCUAAUGUAAAUACUGAAUUCGUAAUGUCUUCAAGAACUCAAACACUGAAAAUGGGAACAGGAUCCGCGUAUGUUGCUGCUCUAGUCGGAUCACUGGUACCAGGGAAGUUAGAAGGUACUUCAGGGAGGGGAAAGGCCUUGGUGGUUGUUUCUGAUGGAUUCUGGUUGUUUCCAGCGAGUUGGGUGAGGACUGUCGUCAGCGCUAUGCACAGGCACUGUUUUCACAAAGCACUCUUGUAUUUUUGUGCAGGGACGCUAUGAACCUUUGAGAAGGAAGCUUUCGUUUUUGUUGUGGAACCCAAGCAUUUGCCACGUGGGUGUGCCUCCGGGUCCCCCGCUUCCCUCAAAUGCACAGGGUCACCUCAGGAUCCUGUGGAGGCUUUGGGUUUCCCCUCCCCUGCUCCCCACUCUCCUUGAAUUCUCUGCCUCCCCUGGCCUCCUGUGACUGCCCUCUCCCUUCUGUCCCCCACACCUCAUGUCACCACACCUCAUGCCUGCAUUCCAGGAAUUCAAAGUAGCAGCUUACUAGCACAGCUGUUGUGUGGUAACUGUUUCUCGGUUUGCUAAAGGAUUGGGGUGAAAAGGGAGAUUAUGCUACAACCUGAAGUGGCACACAGGUAGGACUGAAUAUUAGAAAUCACUGAACCUAAAAGUAACUGUUUUUGUAAAUCAGGUCUUAGUGGAACCCAGCCUCACCCACUGUUAGCCUACUUACAGCUACUUUCUCACUGUGACAGCAGAGUUGAGUAGAAGUCACAAAGGGCGAGACUGGGUGGCACCCACAGCCAAAAUAUUUACUAUCUGGUCCUUAAGAAGAAAAAUGCCAGACCCUAAACUGUAUUAUAUGAUCAGCAUUUUCUCACUGCUUGGUCCCCCUGUAAGCCUUGGCUUUCCACCCUUUUCCUAAGCCUCUCUCACAUUAGACACCUGUUCAUUUUGUUAAAAUCUUAAUGUGUUCUCAGGGUACCUCAUUUUGACUCUUGGUUUUCUUGUAAAUUCAAAAUUCCAUUUUUCUUUAUCGUACAGAGCCAUCUGCCCAGUCCUUGCUUACUCUGGCUAUGCCCAAGUGUCCUAACAUUUCUAUCUAUCCAGAUCCUUAAGGACACUGACAGAAACAGCAGCACCAAAGCCCAAAAAAGGGAUUAGGCCACUCCUGUAGAAAGCAGAUGCAAAAGUAUCACAUUUUUAAUAAAUUUCCUUUCUGUCCUCUUUCCCAUAUGUCAAUGUGCAUUAAUUCAAACCUGCCAUUUUUUAUCGACAAAUGUGUCGGAAAUCUUAAAUUCAACAGAGGACAGUUCUAAGGAAAGGGGGUAGGAGAGGCAUUUUAUAGUUAAUCAAGAUAUAGGCAAUUCAGAUCUUCUAAACAAACAUAGAAGGUAGGGUCAACUUUCUCCUAAUUAGAAUGUGUGAAUCCCUAUGUUUACUAUCUGGCUUGUACUCACUUUGUUUUUGUUGAAUAGCUUGUUUUUUGUGACUGUUUAUGGAAGCAAAUGAAAUAGGCAUUGCUUUUUAAAAAUUCAGAAUUGCUAAUUAACUUUUUGAAGCUUUAAUGAUCAUCCAGCCUGAUUCUUCUGGAAAGAGCAUUUGCAUAUACCUGGGGAAAACUGACUGGUAGAUCCAGAGGACAUAGAAGUCUUGACAUGACUGAAUUUUGGCCAAAGAGUUCUACAGGACCAAGGUUAAUCAUCUGUGGCAAGAUAUGAUAGAUAAGGAAUGAGUCAGAGUCAGUACCAACCUUAAGACCUGUGCCCAAGCCAGGAGAAAGGGCAGAAAGGGUGAUACAGGAAAAGAGGCAGAUUCCAGAGACACAGCUGCGUGCUAAAGGACAUGAGAAUGUUCAAAGAUGACGCAGGUAACAACAGAUGUUGGGAAGUCUUGUGAGGUGGAAAGAAAACAAUGAGGAGGGAUCAGGUGGCAGGAAUGAUAUGGGGUGUCAGGUGAGCAGCGGGGCCUCCGCAGGGAUGUGUUCCACUGCGGGGAAGACAGUCUUCCUGGCCUUAAGGGAGAGGAGAGGUUUCAGCAUGGCCAGGGAAGCGUUUGGACCCCUUGGACUAUACAAUAUCUUCUUUCAAUCUUGACUGUGGUAGGGGGAGGACAUACUCUCUUGAGACGGACCCCGCUCCAAACCAGCAGCUCCUGUUUGCUGUCUCUGCCAUGACCCGGCUCAGAAAAGAGUCAGAACUAUGCGGUGUGUUAUGAGGGACCUCUAUGUUUCUGGAACAAGGCUCUUUCUAUUUAGUUGCUCAACACUGAGAACACUUUUCCUUUGACAAAAAAGGCAACGAGGAAAGGUCAACUUUUUCAUUACUCCCUCUCUUAUCUACUCAGUGUCUCAAUUUAGGCCAUAUUUUCUUGUGCCCUACACAGCAACCACUAAGGAGGGCAAAACACUUCUUCUGAACUCGUAAUUAUGUGUAAUGUUAGUAUCACCAUUUUAAGCAGCAAAUUCUGGGCGGUUCAGUUGUCACCUGUGCUGUCACCUGAAUAAAAAUGUCCUGUUAUUUCAGUGCCCUUCCUUGACAAAGUACUCCAGCGCUGGACAACACCUCGAAUUACAGUGUUGUGGGAAAGGAGACAAUCCAACAGUGUAAGGUGUGAGAUUCAUAAAAUCUUGGAAGUGACCUCCCAGAGACGCAGCCAUGUGCACUUGAAGAUGCCAACGCGCUCCGAGGACUAGUGAAAGCUCCCUCCUCUUAGCCUGGAUUAGUCACUCCUUGUGCUCUGUCCUUCUGCUGGAAGCACACACUAUCCAGUUAGGGGAAGACUGCACUCAGGGUAUGCAAAUGAUCUCAGUUACUUAAAGGAAGAAGGUAUCACUUUGGCUUUCUGUUUACAAGUUUGUGAUUCGCCUUUCUUAUUUUCAAUGUUCAUACUAUGGAAUGGCCUCAUUAACGAGAAGAUCAAAAUCCAGGAGGAAGACGUGAAAAACGAAGUCACAUACAAUUAUACUACUCAGUGAUAACCACUGUUAAUUUUUGAUUCAUUUUCUGCUAACCUUUCUUCAUCUAUGUUUGUUUCUUUAUACACCCAUGUCUUUCUUAAAUAAUUACUUUUUCUUCGAUGGAGCAAAAUCUCCUAUUAGAUCAGAUAUAAAAUAUAGCGAGAUCAGUUUUUACUUUCACUAGGAAAAAAAUUGUAUUUUCUGUUUAUUAAGAAGGUAUUAAAUGAACCUGGAGAAGAGGUUUUCAAGAGAAACAUCUUAAACAAUGAGCUCUGGAUAUUUCCUAAGCUCUAUUUCAAAGCAAUUUGUACUGUGUGUAUAAAAACAUACUCUUUUAAAUCAAACAGUAAUUUUAUUAUAAAAGCAAGUGACUUACUUUUUGUAUAGAUUCAGAAUAUGCCAAAUAAACUAAGAAACCAUGACUUUUAAGAACUGCAAAAUUAAUGUACAGGUCUCUAAAUAGGUGAUCCUGGAGUACCUAAAUGGGCCACAUACAGAGCAGUAAUUUAUUUGGGAUGACAUUACGGGCCAUGCUAACUAUCUAGAAAGUACCGGAAUCUUUCUGGACAUUUAACAAUAGAUUUGUACAUGAUGACUGAUAGCUACUGUGUAAUUCUGGGUUUUAAGUUGCUUUUAGAGUUUAUUCUGCCACACUCACCUUGAUAAAUAUGAAGACUGACCUGGACAUCAACUUGACGUUUUCUUUAAAAUCAUGGAAGAAAGGGAAAAAACAGCAUAAGCAAAGUCAACUGACAAAAUAGGAGGAAAAAAUUACAACUUAUAUCAUAGACAAGGGUAACUGGCAUAUUUAGAGAGUUAAACUUCAAAGACCAACCCUCCCCCCACCCCGCCAACCUCCCUGUAAAUGGGUAAAGGAUAUACAGCCAGGCCUCCAACAAAAGAAAGGCAAGUAACCCAUGAAUAUAUGAAAAGAUCCUCAAUGGUUUCGCUUAGUUGAAACUUAGAGAAAUCUAUUAGGGCUUGAAUUUCUGAAGAAGUACAUUUUAAAGGAGGGCUAGAAAUUAACUGUUGGGAAUUGGCCUUUACUAGAAUAAAAAUUCCCUAUCACAAGAAAAAAACAUAAAUUCCUCUUUUCCCCCCAGAAUGCAGUAGGUCAGGGACUCUUGUGAUUACCUAGCAUCUGAUGCCUGGAACGUUGAAUUUCAAGAAAUUCAUGAUUUUUUUUUUUUUUUUUUUUUUGCCUGUGACAUCAGUGAUACAUGGGAAAUACUAUGUAUACGAAGUAUGGGUAAAAUACUGAACUAACUUCAUUUGUAUUGUUGAGUAAUUCUGUUAACCUCUGGCCUUACAUUUUUCAUCUGAAAAGCAGGGCUGGACCAACUGGUCUCCAAAGCUAUUCCUAGUGCUAAUAUUCUUUUUUUCUCAUUUGCCUUUUGUGUACAACCUAAGUGUGAUGUGUAAGUUCAAGUCUAUGAUACUUAAAUAAAAUGUUCUGUCUCCACCAUUA